CAUGUAGGCGGUUUUUUAAGUGAGAUGUGAAAUACUCGGGCUUAACCUGAGUGCUGCAUUUCAAACUGGAAGUCUAGAGCGCAGGAGAGGAGAAGGGAAUUCCUAGUGUAGCGGUGAAAUGCGUAGAGAUUAGGAAGAACACCAGUGGCGAAGGCGCUUCUCUGGACUGUAACUGACGCUGAGGCUCGAAAGCGUGGGAGCAAACAG
Molecule: ribosomal RNA, 207 nt
Filed under: uncultured bacterium
Lineage: Bacteria
Description: partial 16S ribosomal RNA
Rfam family: Bacterial small subunit ribosomal RNA
Source: RNAcentral